GAUGAACGCUGGCUACAGGCUUAACACAUGCAAGUCGAGGGGAAACGACGGGGAAGCUUGCUUCCCCGGGCGUCGACCGGCGCACGGGUGAGUAACGCGUAUCCAACCUGCCUCUGACUGAGGGAUAACCCGUCGAAAGUCGGCCUAAUACCUCAUGGCAUCGUCUGCGGGCAUCCAACGACGAUUAAAGAUUUCAUCGGUCAGAGAUGGGGAUGCGUCUGAUUAGCUUGUUGGCGGGGUAACGGCCCACCAAGGCGACGAUCAGUAGGGGUUCUGAGAGGAAGGUCCCCCAAAAUGGAACUGGGACACCGGCCAAACUCCUACGGGAGGCAGCAGUGAGGAAUAUUGGUCAAUGGGCGAGAGCCUGAACCAGCCAAGUAGCGUGCAGGAUGACGGCCCUAUGGGUUGUAAACUGCUUUUAUGCGGGGAUAAAGUGAGGGACGUGUCCUUCAUUGCAGGUACCGCAUGAAUAAGGACCGGCUAAUUCCGUG
This 491-nucleotide ribosomal RNA is filed under the name uncultured bacterium. RNAcentral's name for it is "partial 16S ribosomal RNA". It matches the Rfam family "Bacterial small subunit ribosomal RNA", at positions 28 to 507 of the family's 1533-position model. The record is from RNAcentral.